This 663-nucleotide ribosomal RNA is filed under the name Pediococcus pentosaceus. RNAcentral's name for it is "bacterial SSU rRNA". It matches the Rfam family "Bacterial small subunit ribosomal RNA", at positions 22 to 640 of the family's 1533-position model. Lineage: Bacteria; Bacillati; Bacillota; Bacilli; Lactobacillales; Lactobacillaceae. The record is from RNAcentral.
GCUCAGGAUGAACGCUGGCGGCGUGCCUAAUACAUGCAAGUCGAACGAACUUCCGUUAAUUGAUUAUGACGUACUUGUACUGAUUGAGAUUUUAACACGAAGUGAGUGGCGAACGGGUGAGUAACACGUGGGUAACCUGCCCAGAAGUAGGGGAUAACACCUGGAAACAGAUGCUAAUACCGUAUAACAGAGAAAACCGCAUGGUUUUCUUUUAAAAGAUGGCUCUGCUAUCACUUCUGGAUGGACCCGCGGCGUAUUAGCUAGUUGGUGAGGUAAAGGCUCACCAAGGCAGUGAUACGUAGCCGACCUGAGAGGGUAAUCGGCCACAUUGGGACUGAGACACGGCCCAGACUCCUACGGGAGGCAGCAGUAGGGAAUCUUCCACAAUGGACGCAAGUCUGAUGGAGCAACGCCGCGUGAGUGAAGAAGGGUUUCGGCUCGUAAAGCUCUGUUGUUAAAGAAGAACGUGGGUAAGAGUAACUGUUUACCCAGUGACGGUAUUUAACCAGAAAGCCACGGCUAACUACGUGCCAGCAGCCGCGGUAAUACGUAGGUGGCAAGCGUUAUCCGGAUUUAUUGGGCGUAAAGCGAGCGCAGGCGGUCUUUUAAGUCUAAUGUGAAAGCCUUCGGCUCAACCGAAGAAGUGCAUUGGAAACUGGGAGA